This 290-nucleotide long non-coding RNA is filed under the name Homo sapiens (human). RNAcentral describes it as "HSALNT0004452". Lineage: Eukaryota; Metazoa; Chordata; Mammalia; Primates; Hominidae. The record is from RNAcentral.
UGCCUAUCCACCCCGUGGUGCCAAACCCAUAUACUCUCCUAUCCUCAAUACCUCCCUCUACUACCCAUUAUUCUGUUCUGGAUCUCAAACAUGCUUUCUUUACUAUUCCUUUGCACCUUCAUCCCAGCCUCAAUUCGCUUUCAGUUAGACUAACCCUGACACCCAUUAGGCUCAGCAAAUUACCUGGGCUGUACUGCCGCAAGGCUUCACAGACAGCCCCCAUUACUUCAGUCAAGCCCAAAUUUCAUCCUCAUCUGUUACCUAUCUCGGCAUAAUUCUCAUAAAAACAC